GAUGAAGAACGUAGCGAAAUGCGAUACUUGGUGUGAAUUGCAGAAUCCCGUGAACCAUCGAGUCUUUGAACGCAAGUUGCGCCUCAAGCCAUUAGGUUGAGGGCACGUCUGCCUGGGCGUCACAUAUCGUUGCCUGAUGCCAGUUUCCUCGUGAUGGGUGACUGUGCAGGGCGAAUGAUGGCUUCCCGUGAGCAUUGUUGCCUCAUGGUUGGUUGAAAAUUGAGUCCUUGGUAGGGAGCGCCGUGAUAGAUGGUGGUUGAGUGACGAACGAGACCCAAUCAUGUGAGACCCCUACCGAAUUUGGCCUUCAUGACCCACAUGCGUCUUUGGAACGCUCAUGACGAGACCUCAGGUCAGGUGGGGCUACCCGCUGAGUUUAAGCAUAUCAAUAAGCGGAGGA
RNAcentral lists this unclassified non-coding RNA (400 nucleotides) under soil metagenome. Its description in RNAcentral is "partial contains 5.8S ribosomal RNA, internal transcribed spacer 2, and large subunit ribosomal RNA". The stretch from base 1 to 122 matches the Rfam family "5.8S ribosomal RNA", at positions 35 to 154 of the family's 154-position model. The record is from RNAcentral.